AUGUGAAAGCAUGCGACUCUUCGGAGGCGUUACACAGGUGCUGCAUGGCCGUCGUCAGCUCGUGUCGUGAGAUGUUUGGUUAAGUCCCGCAACGAGCGCAACCCCUAUUUCCAGUAGCCAGCAAGAAAGAUGGGAACUCUGGAGAGACUGCCCGGGAUAACUGGGAGGAAGGCGGGGAUGACGUCAAAUCAUCAUGCCCCUUAUGAUCAGGGCUACACACGUGCUACAAUGGCGUAAACAAAGGGAAGCGAAGUGGUGACACGAAGCAAAUCCGAAAAACAACGUCUCAGUUCGGAUUGUAGUCUGCAACUCGACUACAUGAAGCUGGAAUCGCUAGUAAUCGCGAAUCAGAAUGUCGCGGUGAAUACGUUCCCGGGUCUUGUACACACCGCCCGUCACACCAUGGGAGUCGGAAAUGCCCGAAGUCAGUGACCCAACCGAGAGGAGGGAGCUGCCGAAGGUGGAGCCGGUAACUGGGGUGAAGUCGUAACAAGGUAGCCGUAUCGGAAGGUGCGGCUGGAUCACCUCCUU
RNAcentral lists this ribosomal RNA (531 nucleotides) under uncultured bacterium. Its description in RNAcentral is "bacterial SSU rRNA". It matches the Rfam family "Bacterial small subunit ribosomal RNA", at positions 999 to 1532 of the family's 1533-position model. The record is from RNAcentral.